This 253-nucleotide ribosomal RNA is filed under the name uncultured bacterium. RNAcentral's name for it is "partial 16S ribosomal RNA". It matches the Rfam family "Bacterial small subunit ribosomal RNA", at positions 524 to 776 of the family's 1533-position model. The record is from RNAcentral.
UACAGAGGGGGCGAGCGUUGUUCGGAAUUACUGGGCGUAAAGGGCGCGUAGGCGGCCCGCUAAGUCGAACGUGAAAUCCCCAGGCUCAACCUGGGAACUGCGUCCGAUACUGGCAGGCUUGAAUCCGGGAGAGGGAUGUGGAAUUCCAGGUGUAGCGGUGAAAUGCGUAGAGAUCGGGAGGAACACCCGUGGCGAAGGCGGCUCACUGGGCCGGUCCUGACGCUGAGACGCGAAGGCGUGGGGAGCGAACGGG